UGGGGUCGGAGCUGAUCGGGCGCCUGGCCCCGCGCCUGGGCCUCGCCGAGCCCAACAUGCUGAGGAAAGCAGAGGAGUACUUGCGCCUGUCCCGGGUGAAGUGUGUUGGCCUCUCUGCACGCACCACGGAGACCAGCAGUGCAGUCAUGUGCCUGGACCUUGCAGCUUCCUGGAUGAAGUGCCCCUUGGACAGGGCUUAUUUAAUUAAACUUUCUGGUUUGAACAAGGAGACGUAUCAGAGCUGUCUUAAAUCUUUUGAGUGUUUACUGGGCCUGAAUUCAAAUAUUGGAAUAAGAGACCUAGCUGUACAGUUUAGCUGUACAGAAGCAGUGAACAUGGCUUCAAAGAUACUAAAAAGCUAUGAGUCCAGUCUUCCCCAGACACAGCAAGUAGAUCUUGACUUAUCCAGGCCACUUUUCACUUCUGCUGCACUGCUUUCAGCAUGCAAGUACAUACCUAGGAGUAUUAAUUAGCAUUUGUGGAAAACAUCUCUUCAAUUCAACAAAAGUAUGUGCAUAUACGGAGGGAGUAUAGCUGAUAUUGUAGAAAACAGUGAGAAUA
This 561-nucleotide small RNA is filed under the name Pongo abelii (Sumatran orangutan). RNAcentral's name for it is "processed transcript". Lineage: Eukaryota; Metazoa; Chordata; Mammalia; Primates; Hominidae. The record is from RNAcentral.